AUUAGAUACCCUAUUAUUAAAGCUAAAAGCUCUCCAUAUGGAGUAUAGGCGGUAGCCUGGAAAACAAUAUACAUGGCGGUUAGGGAUAACCUAUUAGAGAAGCAUGUAAACUUAAUGAAUCUACCCAAGAUAAAAGUUCUAGAUUUUGAUAAAUAGCCAUUUUGUACACCGCUAUCUGAAAAAUUCUAUUAUAUCAGAAUUUUGAUCAAAAGUCCUUGAAUAAGGUAAGUUAAGGUGCAGACAAUAAUCUAGGAUUUAUGUGCCUCUUUCUUAUGUCUAUGGAAAAGGAUAUGAAAACUCUUAAAUAAAAAGAAUUUAACAGUAAAUAAAGUUGAUCAAACUUUAUUGAAGAGGCAAUCUCUAACGUACACAUCGCCCGUCGCUC
Molecule: ribosomal RNA, 385 nt
Filed under: Osculotes curta
Lineage: Eukaryota; Metazoa; Arthropoda; Insecta; Psocodea; Philopteridae
Description: partial 12S ribosomal RNA
Source: RNAcentral